CCUACGGGUGGCAGCAGUGAGGAAUAUUGGUCAAUGGACGAGAGUCUGAACCAGCCAAGUAGCGUGAAGGAUGACGGCCCUAUGGGGUGUAAACUUCUUUUAUAAAGGAAUAAAACGAGGCACGUGUGCCUUUUUGCAUGUACUUUAUGAAUAAGGAUCGGCUAACUCCGUGCCAGCAGCCGCGGUAAUACGGAGGAUCCGAGCGUUAUCCGGAGUUAUUGGGUUUAAAGGGAGCGUAGGGGGGGUGUUAAGUCAGUGGUUAAAGUUUGCGGCUCAACCGUAAAAUUGCAAUUGAUACUGGCAGUCUUGAUUACAGUUGAGGUAGGCGGACUUCGUGGUGUAGCGGUG
This 348-nucleotide ribosomal RNA is filed under the name uncultured bacterium. RNAcentral describes it as "partial 16S ribosomal RNA". It matches the Rfam family "Bacterial small subunit ribosomal RNA", at positions 338 to 683 of the family's 1533-position model. The record is from RNAcentral.